ACCCUGCUGGCUUAGCUGAUAGAGCAUGAGACUCUUGAUCUCAGGGUAAUGAGUUUGAGUCCCAUGUUGGACA
RNAcentral lists this transfer RNA (73 nucleotides) under Canis lupus familiaris (dog). It matches the Rfam family "tRNA". Rfam says of the family: Transfer RNA (tRNA) molecules are approximately 80 nucleotides in length. Their secondary structure includes four short double-helical elements and three loops (D, anti-codon, and T loops). RNAcentral also lists the same sequence under 2 other names. The record is from Rfam by way of RNAcentral. Lineage: Eukaryota; Metazoa; Chordata; Mammalia; Carnivora; Canidae.